CGACGACACUGAGGACGAGGACGGCGGCGGCGCGGCGGCGGGCGACGUGAGCAGGCCGCCGCCGCCGGGCUUGCGGGCAUUGGCGGCCGCGGGCGGCUGCUGCUGCUGCUGCUGCUGCUGGGGCUUCAGCGACAUGCAGGAGGUGUUGGCCACUGCACGGACACCUUGCUCAGCCCCCACCUGAUGCCACCUAGAGAAUGGACUGCAGUGACUUCUGGGCGGGGACUGUCUUGCUCCUAUCAAGCACCUGGAACACAAGCAUCCCAUAGUUUUCUUUGUACCCCCCACCCCCCCGCACCUGGCACACAGUAGGCUCUCACAUGUCCCUGGGUGUCUAAGAGGCAGGCUGUCCUGUCUUUCUCUGCCAAAGAUGACAGGGUCGGAAUGGAGCAACCUCCCGGGGCCACUCUCAGCUGGUUCCCUUUUCCCCACUUGUUUCGCCCCAGCAACACAGUAACUGGAAAACUCUUUUGGGUAUCCGACUUUCAUUUGAACCCAUUUUCCCUUGCUUGAACUUCUUUUCCUCCUUCGUGAGACUCAAAAGGAAGUGGACAUGACUGGUAGAGCUGUGGAUAAUGGGGCUCCUUCAGUGGAGCCAGAACAGACCUCACAAGAAGGUGCGAACUUUAGACCUUGGUCCGUUUAGAAGUUUUGCUUUAACUUGGGUUGGUAGCCAACACGGUAGUCCAUGUUUUCAAUGUGCUGCAAUUAAACUGGAAGCAAGUAGAUAACUUUUUUUCUUCCUUUGUGCAAGGAAUCUAGUUUUUUAAAAAGUGAAAUUACUUCAGGAAAUGGUAGGAGGAAAACACCAGAAUUCCCCUCAACCUCCCAGAAUUGUCAGAUAAAGGUAAAAACAGAAAAACUUGGAGAAUGAUUAAGCCACGAGUCUUCAGUAGCCAAAUUGAAAUUAAUCUCCUAGAUAGCCCAGGCAAAAAUGAUCAUUAUAUUCUGCAAACACUUGAAAAGUAGAAAAUCAGCUUUUCUCCCAGCUGAGGUAAAAAGAAGGGGAGGGGGAGUAGCAUUCUUUUAAACCAACAUUUGCAAAAUCUUUUAAAAAUUAACCCAAAGGAAAUUGAGACUAAAAAACCAGAUGAGGGGGGAAAAAAAAUAGAAGGGCCAUAAUAGAAAUACAGUCAGCUUUCUGUGGUUUAAUGAUUUGACAGUUAGCCAUAUCUGAGAACAAGGUCCCAGAGUUCAAUCUUAGGACCAAAUUCCAGACAAAUGGGAGGAACAACAAGCGGAAUAAGAAUGCCUAAAGCUGACAUAGCUGAACUUGAUUUCAUUUACGCUGAGAAAGCUCAAAUUUUCAUCCACUAUCACUGAAAAUAUAUUGUAACAGUUUUAUUGAGGUAUAAUUUACAUUUUGUGAAAUUCACCCAUUUUGCAUACAAUUCAAUGAUUCUCAGAAAAUCUAGAGAGUUGCGCAACUAUCACAACUAAUUUCAGAACAUUUCUUUCACCCCAAAAGGACCUUUCAUACCCAUUUGCAGUGACUCCUGGUUUCAAUCCUCAGCCCCAACAACCCCUAAUCUACUUCCUGUCUCAAUGGAUUUAUCUAUUCUGGACUUUUCAUAUAAAUGGACUCUUACAAUAUGUGGUCUUUGUCUGCUUUCUUUCACUUAGCAUAAUGGUUUUGAGCUUUAUCCACAUCAUAGAAUGUAUCAGUGUUUCAUUCCUUAUUAUCACCAAGUAGUAUGCCAUUGUAUGAAUAUAUCACAUUGUGUGUAUCUGUUCACCAGCUGGUGGACGUUUAGAUUGUUUCAGGUUUGGGGCCAUUAUGAAUAAUGCUGCUAUGAACGUUUGUAAACAUAUGUCUUCAUGUGGACAUAUGUUUUCAUUUCUCUCGAGUUGAGCCUAGGAAUGGAAUGUUAGGUAGUAUGGUAAAUUAAUUUUAACUUUUUUAAAAUACCAUCAAACUCUUUUCCAAAGUAGCUGUGCCAUUUUACAUCCAUGCCUGAAAUGUUUGAGGGUUUAUCAUUAAAAUUUAAUUUCUGCUUUUGUAUUAAAAUGGAAACCAAGACAACCUCUACUGUCUAUUUUAUUUUAUACACACCUCCCUCCCUCACCCCCCCCCAUUUUUA
Equus caballus (horse) is the source of this 2081-nucleotide non-coding RNA. The record is from RefSeq and is a predicted model, not a curated record. Lineage: Eukaryota; Metazoa; Chordata; Mammalia; Perissodactyla; Equidae.